AAAAUUUGGCCUCAGCUCUUGCAUCACAACAAAAGCUAAGAUUUUAAACCUUGAAGUUUAGCUCAUAUCGAACAAGUCACAGUAACUCAUGUUUGAGUAGCUAACUUCUUCAAGUAUCGUAUCAAAAAAAGACAAACUUUACCAAAUUAGAUGAAAGACCAGGAAAAUAAUUCAGACACAUAAUGUAACUAUUAUUUUAACAUGAAUUUGCAUGGGUGUAGGUAUUGAAACUUGAUCCACAUUCAUAAGUCAACUGGAGUGAUCAUUAUUCCCUAAAAGUGGAUAACAAAAUGUUCUGCAGAAAAAAAUUAAAUCAAAACAAUUACAUUUUCUUUUCAAACUCGCUUUUAGUACCGAUAGAAAAUUCUGGUAUUAAUUAAUUUUAAGUUUGAAAUGAGGUGAAAAUUUAUGCGAAGUAAUCAAUGCAAAUUUCAAAACCUGUAAAAAACUCUUGUUGUACAUAUGUUGCAAUGGAGAUAACACAAAAGGGAAAGAAGAAAACUGAAGAAUGUCAACCAGCAAGAGGCGUAAAUAGUUGGCAACUAUUGUGGGGGUUAUAUAACUAUACCAACAAUUAUAUGUAGUACCUCUGUCGAAGCAUAUUAAAUCAAUGGCUUUGAUUCUCCUAUCUACAACAUGGUUGAGAUAUCUCACACUGUCCAUUUUGCAAGAUGUAGAGAACAGGCCACAAACUCACAAAAGGGCUAGUUUAACUCUGCAUCUGUACCUACAAACAACCAAAAGAAAAACUAUGUCCACUAUAAAUGAAUGCUUUUGAGAUACUGAAAGUGGUUCAUCAUAAGCAGAAGGUGUUGUUUGUCCUUCUAGACCAAUGUUUUCACUAACCUACAUUGCCUUAAGUAUGAGAGUUGCGUCAAUUGCAUCAUUUACUACUUCAACGUCAAAGUGCUCUGCCAAAAGUCGUUGACUCAUAGGAAGAGACGGUACAUUUAGUUUCUUGCAUUUUACUUCUAAUGACAUAUUUCUCAUCAUCUAGAACACUUUAUUCUUCCUUUUCUUAAUCCUUUACAGUGUAUUUACAUAAGAUUAUAUACUUAAUGAUCAACAACAACCUAUUCCUGAUAAAACAAUAUAUCUUUUCUCAAUUAUUUAAAUUUUAGGCAUAGUUUGUAAUGCUUGAGAACUUCCAAUAGCGACAUGAAAGUACAAAAUCUUAACGACCUAGAACCACUAAUACAACUCAUUUAAUAGAAAAAAUGUGAGAAACAAUCACCUUCGAUAGACCUUGAUUGAGUAGAAACCUGUCACUAUAUUUUGACAACCAUUGUCUUAACCAUGGCAACUCCUAAAGAUCCUCCAGUUGAAUUAUAAUUGAAACCGCAAGAAGAAGAAUAUCUCUGCAACAAUUUAAAAAAAAAAAAAGGUAAAUUAUGCAACUUUUAUAAGUAAAUAAUUGACUCGAGAACUUGUUUCGAAUCUCUCCAAAUUUUGAUGAAAGGUUGUAAUUUCAACGGCACCUUAUUGUUUACUUGAUUUACACUAACCUAUAAGUUAAAUAGAAAAUACACUCACCAUAAAUUUAAAAAUAAGUCUUGCAAUUUCAUCAGGAAAAAGUAUAAGCACAAAGGGCUAAGAAGUGCAGUGCAGCUACUGCUAAAUCGUCAAAAAGUAAAAAGAUAAGAAAUGAACAUUUUCCUUUUCAAUCAUGAAUAAAUUGAAUGAUAUACGAUAUUUCUUUGUUAGUGCUAAAUCAUCAAAAAUAGUUGAUAAAAUAUAAAUGCAUUACUGACCUUUAGGAAUGUAGUUGACAUAGCCUUCCUCUAUUCUCUUUGAGUUUUUCUUAUUGCCAUUGACGACUAUAAAAUUGACACAAAAACAGUCAAUAAAGAUAUGCAUGUGAAAAAUAAGUUAAGAAAAGAUUCAAAUACUCAGGAAAUUUCAUAAAAAUACGACAUUUUAGAUUCUCAUUUCUGUUUCACAAUAAUCUUUGUCUUCCUAAAAGAUUCUCACGGAUAUUAGACCAAAAUCAAAAUCCUAAUUUAUGCAAUUGAAACAACACCAAAUCCAUAGGAACUAAAUGUAGUUGAAUAUAGAUAUCACGGGAGAGAGAAAAUAGAGAGCAUGACUAAAGAAUAAAUCAGUGAAGAAGAAAUUGAGAAAUCACCCAACUUGGCUCUGAGUGGUGAAAGAGAAUGGAGAACAAAAUAGGAGAAACAAA
This 2179-nucleotide long non-coding RNA is filed under the name Solanum tuberosum (potato). RNAcentral describes it as "long non-coding RNA (STUB_LNC001663)". The record is from RNAcentral. Lineage: Eukaryota; Viridiplantae; Streptophyta; Magnoliopsida; Solanales; Solanaceae.